RNAcentral lists this non-coding RNA (85 nucleotides) under Streptococcus macacae. RNAcentral's name for it is "Glycine sequence". It matches the Rfam family "Glycine riboswitch aptamer". From Rfam's summary of the family: This family represents the bacterial glycine riboswitch. Glycine riboswitches usually consist of two metabolite-binding aptamers domains with similar structures in tandem. Lineage: Bacteria; Bacillati; Bacillota; Bacilli; Lactobacillales; Streptococcaceae. The record is from RNAcentral.
UGACGGACUUCUGGAGAGACCUAUCAGGCGCCGAAGGGGCAAGGCAUAUGCUUAAACUCUCAGGCAAAAGGACAGAAGAAAAAUA